GAAAUGCGAUAAGUAGUGUGAAUUGCAGAAUUCAGUGAAUCAUCGAAUCUUUGAACGCACAUUGCGCCCCUUGGUAUUCCAUGGGGCAUGCCUGUUCGAGCGUCAUUUGUACCUUCAAGCUUUGCUUGGUGUUGGGUGUUUGUCUCGCCUCCGCGCGUAGACUCGCCUCAAAACAAUUGGCAGCCGGCGUAUUGUUUUCGGAGCGCAGUACAUCUCGCGCUUUGCACUCAUAACGACGACGUCCAAAAGUACAUUUUUACACUCUUGACCUCGGAUCAGGUAGGGAUACGCGCUGAACUUAAGC
RNAcentral lists this unclassified non-coding RNA (304 nucleotides) under plant metagenome. RNAcentral describes it as "partial contains 5.8S ribosomal RNA, internal transcribed spacer 2, and large subunit ribosomal RNA". The stretch from base 1 to 105 matches the Rfam family "5.8S ribosomal RNA", at positions 50 to 154 of the family's 154-position model. The record is from RNAcentral.